Molecule: ribosomal RNA, 486 nt
Filed under: uncultured bacterium
Lineage: Bacteria
Description: bacterial SSU rRNA
Rfam family: Bacterial small subunit ribosomal RNA
Source: RNAcentral
AACGAACGCUGGCGGCGCGCCUAAUACAUGCAAGUCGAGCGAGAAGACGUAGCAAUACGUUUGUAAAGCGGCGAACGGGUGAGGAAUACAUGGGUAACCUACCCUCGAGUGGGGAAUAACUAGCCGAAAGGUUAGCUAAUACCGCGUACGCUCCUUGGACUUCGGUUCAGGGAGGAAAGCGAUACCGUGGGUAUCGCGCUCUUGGAUGGGCUCAUGUCCUAUCAGCUUGUUGGUGAGGAACGGCUCACCAAGGCUUCGACGGGUAGCUGGUCUGAGAGGACGAUCAGCCACACUGGCACUGCGACACGGGCCAGACUCCUACGGGAGGCAGCAGUAAGGAAUAUUGCGCAAUGGGCGAAAGCCUGACGCAGCGACGCCGCGUGGGGGAUGAAGGUCUUCGGAUUGUAAACCCCUUUCGGGAGGGAAGAUGGAACGAGCAAUCGUUCGGACGGUACCUCCAGAAGCAGCCACGGCUAACUUCGUGCC